Cucumis sativus (cucumber) is the source of this 144-nucleotide long non-coding RNA. RefSeq lists it as uncharacterized. The transcript is spliced from 2 exons. The record is from RefSeq and is a predicted model, not a curated record. NCBI's taxonomy places the organism in Eukaryota, Viridiplantae, Streptophyta, Magnoliopsida, Cucurbitales, Cucurbitaceae.
GGACUAUAUUUUCACUAUAUUUUCAACUAAUUAAUCUCCAGGAAGAAGUUGCUUAAGUGAUUCUUAAAGAAGGGUAAGGAGAGGUAAUGAUUCAUACUCCUUGAAAAUUAAAUCCGUAUUUUUAUUUAUUUGUAUUAUCUUUAA